Molecule: ribosomal RNA, 411 nt
Filed under: uncultured bacterium
Lineage: Bacteria
Description: bacterial SSU rRNA
Rfam family: Bacterial small subunit ribosomal RNA
Source: RNAcentral
UAGGGAAUCUUGCGCAAUGGGCGAAAGCCUGACGCAGCGACGCCGCGUGAGGGAUGACGGCUUUCGGGUUGUAAACCUCUUUCAGCAGGGACGAAGCCUCACGGUGACGGUACCUGCAGAAGAAGCCCCGGCUAACUACGUGCCAGCAGCCGCGGUAAUACGUAGGGGGCAAGCGUUAUCCGGAUUUAUUGGGCGUAAAGCGCGCGUAGGCGGCCGACCACGUCGGAUGUGAAAGCUCAGGGCUCAACCCUGAGAGGCCAUUCGAUACGGGUCGGCUAGAGGCAGGUAGGGGAGAAUGGAAUUCCUGGUGUAGCGGUGAAAUGCGCAGAUAUCAGGAGGAACACCGGUGGCGAAGGCGGUUCUCUGGGCCUGUUCUGACGCUGAGGUGCGAAAGCUGGGGGAGCAAACAGG